This 700-nucleotide ribosomal RNA is filed under the name uncultured bacterium. Its description in RNAcentral is "bacterial SSU rRNA". It matches the Rfam family "Bacterial small subunit ribosomal RNA", at positions 56 to 749 of the family's 1533-position model. The record is from RNAcentral.
UGCAAGUCGAGCGGCAGCGCGGGGGCAACUCUGGCGGCGAGCGGCGAACGGGUGAGUAAUGCAUCGGAACGUGUCCCGGAGUGGGGGAUAACCCGGCGAAAGCCGGACUAAUACCGCAUAUGCUCUGAGGAGGAAAGUGGGGGACCUGAGAGGGCCUCAUGCUUUGGGAGCGGCCGAUGUCCGAUUAGCUAGUUGGUGGGGUAAAGGCUUACCAAGGCGACGAUCGGUAGCUGGUCUGAGAGGAUGAUCAGCCACACUGGGACUGAGACACGGCCCAGACUCCUACGGGAGGCAGCAGUGGGGAAUUUUGGACAAUGGGGGCAACCCUGAUCCAGCCAUGCCGCGUGCGGGAAGAAGGCCUUCGGGUUGUAAACCGCUUUUAGCUGGGAAGAAAAGACUCGGGCUAACACUCCGGGGGCUCGACGGUACCGGCGGAAUAAGCACCGGCUAACUACGUGCCAGCAGCCGCGGUAAUACGUAGGGUGCGAGCGUUAAUCGGAAUUACUGGGCGUAAAGCGUGCGCAGGCGGUUCGUUAAGUUUGUCGUGAAAGCCCCGGGCUCAACCUGGGAGUGGCGAUGAAAACUGGCGAGCUGGAGUGUGGCAGAGGGGGGUGGAAUUCCAGGUGUAGCAGUGAAAUGCGUAGAGAUCUGGAGGAACACCGAUGGCGAAGGCAGCCCCCUGGGCUGACACUGACGCUCA